GGGGAGCCCGUGGGGAGCGCUAGAGGCGGCGGAAGCCAGCCCCACCUCUGAGCCGCACAGCACAGCGGCCCCAGCUGGGGACCGCCCUCCCCUGGACGCACCUGCCCCGGAGGAGGAGACCCCACCCUCUGGGGGACCCGUCUGCACUUGCCAUGGGCCCACUCCCCCACACCCACCGCAGCGGGAGCGGGAGGAGACCGUCCAGAGCUGCAGAGCACUGAGCGCACGGGAGGUGCCUGUGGCGGGCACCUGUCGCUCUGCUCUGCUCUGCGUGCUCGCUGGCCCUGUCUUAGCGGCCACCCCAUCCUCUUUCCCUUGGUUCCGCCGGGGUUCCGUGGUCGGGGCUGCCCUGGAGCACCUUGGCCCUAUGCCCUGGAGCGGGGUGUGGCCACCCGCGCUGGGGUGGGCCCACAGAAUCCUAAGGGGCCCCGGACUAAGAGGUGCUGGGACUCCCUCGCUGGCUCCCGUGAGCGGCAGCCCCACCCACCCUGAGGGGCCGGGUGCCCCCCUUUCCUCACCCCAGUCCCCUUCCAGCCUCUUUUGGGGGGAUGGGGGGCGGCGGGCGAUGGGGCAGAAGGGCGACAGGCAGGGCCAGGUGCAGAGGUGUGGCUGGGGCCGGCUGGAGGCUGGCUGUGGGGUGGGGCUGGUCAGCUUCCCCCUGCCCUGCGCUGCCUGGACUCAGAGCGGACGGGACCCCAAGGAUGGGGGGCGGGGGGCGUGCUGCUCCCCACUGGGGUGGCCAGCGGUCCCGUCCCUACACUUCGAAGAUGAGAUGGGGCCAGCCUGCGGUCGCCGUGUGGCGGGGACCGCUCCUCUGCUCCUGGCGCCCCGCCUGGCAGGCAAGGCCUGGGCGCUGGUGCGGGUGCGGCGGGGCUGGGCCACCAUCCCCGCUGGCUCCGGGCAGGUGACCAGGCCUCCACACCCUGUGUGUGAGCCCGGUGGCGGGCCCGGGCCUUGCCCCUCCCUGUCUCCUCCUAGCACCUGGCGGCCGGGGUGUCCUGCCGGGACUCUGCCAGUGCACCGGGUCCCAGCCCGCUUGCCGCUCGUAGGACAGAGUCCCGGUGCCAUGCGCCCGUCCUACCCCAGAGCCCUCUGCAGGGAUGGAGCCCCAGUCCUGCUCCCUUCUGCCCCCUGCCUGGGCAGGGCCGGGUCUGUCCUGUAGCCUCCGUGCGCAGAGCCUUCCCCCCCGGGGCUUGUUCCCCACCCCCAGGCUGGCAUCUUUCGCCCUUGCUUCCCUGCGUCUGUCACAGCUGCCUGGACAGGAUGUGGCAUCCAGGGAGGGACAGGGGCUCCUCCUCAGCUCAGCCCAGCUCUGGAGCUGUCCUGUGGGGACCCUGGCCAGCAUGCCCCGCAGAAGUGGUGGGGCCUGACUUUAUUCACCUGCGUGCGGCCUGCCUUGAGAGGGCGGUGUCGCCCGGGACUGGCCACCGGGCGCCUAGGGUGGCAGGGCCGCCGCCAGUUUCCAGAACAGUGAGGAGGUAGUGCGACUUUUCUGCAGUUCAGGGAGUGUCUGUUCUCACUCUAUUUUGCCGAUCGUGUCUGCCGCUGCACUGCUGGCCACAUCCUGGUUCUCUCCUCCCUUCCUGGCUGCAGUUCUUUUUUCAUCAGACAGUAUCAGAACUGUGCCCUCUGCUCUGGGCUUCUGCUGUUCCCGGACAUGCUUCCAGAUAGAGCAUGGCCAGCGAGCCUGGAGCGGCCAGUAAUGGGAGGCCUGCAAGGAACCCUUGCAAGAAAGCCAGCACCAGCCUCAGGAGAAUGGAAGCAGAACUUUAUUCUUCUUGGCUAGGGAAGAGAACUAGCGGGUGGUCGUGCAUAGUACCCCCCCACCCCUCCCAGAACCAAAGAAGACAGGCGGAGCCACCAAAGGGCUACCUCUGCUCGCCUCUCUCCUUUGCCCAUGUGGAGGCAGGUGAGUGCAACGCAGGGCUGGGGUGGCUGCAGUGAUGGGGCGGCCAGGGCCGGCCGGGGCUCCGGGGCCAAGGAGACCGGGGGGCUGCUCAGGUUGGGGGGAUGGGCGUGGGAGCACUUCUCAUCCUGGGAGCUGCCAGCUGGCACAGGCACAGAGCUCAGGGUACCAGGACACGGUAGGGGCUGCCUGGGAUGUGCUCGUCACCCCACUUGACCACCAGCGUGUACUCUCCCUUGUCCUUG
This is a long non-coding RNA of Acinonyx jubatus (cheetah), 2151 nucleotides long. RefSeq lists it as uncharacterized. The transcript has 2 exons. Lineage: Eukaryota; Metazoa; Chordata; Mammalia; Carnivora; Felidae. The record is from RefSeq and is a predicted model, not a curated record.